GGGAAUAUUGGACAAUGGGGGGAACCCUGAUCCAGCAAUGCCGCGUGUGUGAAGAAGGCCUGCGGGUUGUAAAGCACUUUAGUGGGGGAGGAAGGCCUGGUUGUUAAUAGCAAGCGGGAUUGACGUUACUCCAAGAAUAAGCACCGGCUAACUCUGUGCCAGCAGCCGCGGUAAUACAGAGGGUGCAAGCGUUAAUCGGAAUGACUGGGCGUAAAGGGCGCGUAGGUGGUGAUACAAGUUAGAUGUGAAAGCCCUGGGCUUAACCUGGGAACUGCAUAUAAUACUGUAUGACUAGAGUAAAGUAGAGGGAAGUGGAAUUUCCGGUGUAGCGGUGAAAUGCGUAGAUAUCGGAAGGAACACCAGUGGCGAAGGCGGCUUCCUGGACUUAUACUGACACUGAGGCGCGAAAGCGUGGGGAGCAAACA
Molecule: ribosomal RNA, 425 nt
Filed under: uncultured bacterium
Lineage: Bacteria
Description: bacterial SSU rRNA
Rfam family: Bacterial small subunit ribosomal RNA
Source: RNAcentral